GUCUGAGAACACAUCCGUAGUACUGGUUUGAUUAGUUGAUAGGGCAAGGCCAUAGGAGGAUAAUUGACGUGCUUUGCCAAUUUUGCCCUUCUUUUCGGAGCUCAAUUUGGUCAUCCGCUUCACGGCAUAUCGGCCUCGUCUUCUCCGUUGGAGCACAAAAAAUACUGCGAUUGCAAUCAGAAUUAUUGCGGUGACGCCGACAGAUCCCCCGAUGAUCGCACCCAUUUGACGAGGGCUCAGAUUGUCAACCGGGGACUCCAUAUCGUUGUGCGCUGACAUAUCUAUUCCAGUUAGACCUGGACUUGUCCAUGUCUGCGUUGUGUUUUGUAAGGAGGAAGAUGGAACUCGAUCCGUUCUUGAGGGGUUAGGUUUCGAAGGAAUUAUAGCGAUCCCAGCAUUUACUCGAUGA
RNAcentral lists this small RNA (409 nucleotides) under Histoplasma capsulatum. Its description in RNAcentral is "hypothetical RNA". Lineage: Eukaryota; Fungi; Ascomycota; Eurotiomycetes; Onygenales; Ajellomycetaceae. RNAcentral also lists the same sequence under 1 other name. The record is from RNAcentral.